GUCCAGCCAUCAACACAUUUGUGAAGGAAUUUUUACUCCCCAAAAGAGCGCCCCCCCAUGGCAGGAGAAAAAAGUCCAUUUUUUCUUGUCCCCUAAGGUGAAAAUACACAUUGUUGAGUGUCACGCCUGUACGCUUUGUCAAAAUGACACAAAAAUUGACACACACAUGUAUCUCAAUAAGAUCUACAAAAAAGUCCAUGCGCGCGUAUCUGUCAAAUGUACGGUUAAAGGGUUAUUCCGCAUUUUUUGCCGAUUCGCACACAUUGGAAUUUCGCUAACUCCUCCGAAGGCUUUCGUUCCACCGGCACCACAUUUGCUCAGGCCAAUCUACACCCCAUGGCCAUUAAAAGUUAUUCAAAUCAUGACGCUGCACCCCACGGUUUACGUUCUAGGGGGCGCCAAAGAUAACCCAAAAAUCCACAUUUUUAAAAGUCUUAUAACUUUUUAUUUUUGUCCUCACUGGCCUCCAAGUUUUCUAGGAUGAUGCAAUGUCCAGCCAUCAACACAUUUGUGAAGGAAUUUUUACUCCCUAAAAGAGCGCCCCCCAUGGCAGGAGAAAAAAGUCCAUUUUUUCUUGUCCCCUAAGGUGAAAAUACACAUUGUUGACUGUCACGCCUGUACGCUUUGGCAAAAUGACACAAAAAUUGACAAUCAUGUGUAUCUCAAUUAGAUCUACGAAAAAGUCAAAGAGCGCGUAUCUGUAUAAUGUACGGUAAAAGGGCUAUUUUGCAUUUUUUGCCGAUUCGCACACAUUGGAAUUUCGCUAACUCCUCCUAAGGCUUUCGUCCCACUGACACCAAAUUUGCUCGGGCCAAUCUACACUCCAUGGCCAUUCAAAGUUGUAAAAAUCAUGACGCUGCACCCCACGGUUUACGUUUUAGGGGGCGCCAAAGAUGACCCAAAUAUACAUUACAGUAGACAAAGUAGUUUUGCCCACUGAGUGGCGCCAAAGGGACUUGUCUGUGGAGUCUGUGAGUCACUAUUGGCCGUUUUUGACUACUUUAGAUUUUACCUUUAUAUUUCCUCUUACAAAAUUUUUACCUUGCCUUGCCUGGUAUCAUUUUUUUCAGCACAACCUCACCUGUGUCAAUUUACAGUUAUUUUAUCAUUUUGACAUACUAUAUUUACACAUUGGACCCAAAUUCACACACAAAACAUAAAAUCCGAGUGGAAAGAAGUAACGUUUUUACUGUGAAAACCACAAAUAUGUGUGAUGAACUGUUUUUAAAACUUAAACUUCAAAUAAAAAUUGUAAACUUCAAAACAUAUGCAAAUUUUUAACAAAGAACAUAGUAAUUUACCUCUAUUUACAUCAAAAUGCAGGCAAUGGCCCAGGUGUUCUUUGUAAAAUUAUUUACAAAACACUGUAUAGUCUCACAAAUGUCACUUUUUAUUUAUGCCACUACAAAAAAACAUGAUGUAAAUGAUGCAUGAUGUAAAACAUGAUGUAAAAAACUUGUGUAUAUCCUCCUCUAUGUUAGUCCAUGUGUAAUUUUUCCAUAAUUCUUUGUUUUUUGCAGCAUUUUUGUUAGUGUAACUGCAGAUUGUGCUGACAGUGUCUAUGGCAAAAAAAAAAAAAAAACUGAAAAUGCCUCAACAUGAACCCCUGGUGGUCUCUGAGGGUGAAACCUGCUAACUGCUGCAGCUCUGUCAGCUUCAGUCUCCCAUGCAGAGCUCGGAGCGCAUGUGUGGCUCUGCACCCUUAGCAGCGUUGCUAACUCCUCAGUAAGGAAAGCCUGCUUCAUGUCAGAGUCUCUAAACUCCAGAAGAAGUUGAUAAAAGUCACUUUCUUUCUAAAAAAAAGUCGUUAGGGGGUCUGAAAAGUCAUUGAAUCUAACAACAAAGUCGCUAGGUUUGCAACUACGUGUCCCAGACUGCAUCCCUGCUGAGAGUCCCUCCCUCCCUUCUCAUAUUGCAGGAAGAACGUAAGCGCCCGCCCCUUGUCAAUCAGUCACCAUAUAAUUUUGGAUUGGUUGUUGUGGUGAAGUUUUCCACCAAUAGGAGAGAUGUUGUGGUGUGUUUCUUUUUUCCUUUGGCAAGCCUUUUCCGCCUGUAAGACCUGUCGCUAAUGUCUGCAUGCUAUGUUUUCCUGUCUCAUACAGCGCGAUCGAGCGCCGAACGUGAUCAAAAUAAGCAGAAAACAAGUAUCGCGGACAUAAUUUAUCAUAACUCUGGUUUUAUUUGGCCUAUCAACACAAUUAAAAACUGGUAUAUAGGUUGAGGUCCUCACUUUAGAGAUAAGUUGAAACGGAGUCAACGAGGCUCCGUCUUGCAGCUACAUCCGGUUAAAUAUGUCAUGUGACUUGAACGCACACACACACACACACACACACACACACACACACACACACACACACACACACACACACACACACACACACACACACACACACACACACACUCAGAGUCUGGUUUUUAGCACCUGCAAAAACAUGCUAUUUACAUAUUUGACAAGAAUGCAGAGGCUCCUUUUGCCCCUGAAAAAAAUCUAAUUUCAAACACAACUUGACUGGUCAUUUCUCCAAAAGACAACCAUGAAGCUCCAUCCAAACCUGAAGCAGGCAGUUGGUGCAUGUGUACAGUAACCUGAGGGGAGUGAGGUGACUGCUUCUGAGGAGAACAUGAGCAGUGAAGAUUCACCUUAGAGCUAGAACAGAGACGUGCACAUGAUUAUACAGGGGCAGGGGCUCAAGUUUUUUCCAGUUGUUUAUACAAUAUGGAAAUUAAUGUGAAAUUAAAACACAAAGUAUUAAUAGAAAGGUAAUGACUGUCCUGAGUAGGUGACAGUGAUAUCCAAUAGGCUAGGCACUCAAGAGGCUGGCUGUGGCAAGUGUAAGUGAAAGCAACACGCACUGGCAGGAAGAACAGCAAACGCCGAUGAAGGAAAAGGGUCUUUGCAGUGAUGGGCGUUACCAGAGAGGGCGAUGGCCAGAGGACACAAAUGGGACGGGGAGGCAGCGCGUUGGGGGGGACGCGACACAGCUCGGGCCCGCCAGUGCCCCAACAGGGUCCUAGUGUUAUUAUUAGGGCCCGAGCGUAGCUGCUAAGCAGCUGCGAGAGCCCUCUUGUUCCUGCAUGUUUCCUUCUUUCGUUAUUAUUUUUCCUCCGCUUUAAACUGGAAAAUGGCCCACUUCCCACUGGCGAAAACUCAUGAAAUUUGGCAGGACGACCGGGCCUGGUGAAAAAUUCGAUAUUUUGAAGUCACCCAAACAAUAAAAUGCAAAAUGGCUCCAUAGCGCCCCCUAAGGUGAAAAUUCACAUGACGGCUGUACGCUUUGUCAUAUUGACACAAAAAUUGACACACACAUGUAUCUCAAUAAGAUCUACAAAAAAGUCAGUGCGGGCGUAUCUGUCAAAUGUACGGUUAAUGGGUUAUUUUGCAUUUUUUGCAGAUCUGCACACAUUGGAAUUUCGCUAACUCCUCCGAAGGCUUUCGUUCGACCGGCACCACAUUUGUGCAGGCCAAUCUACCCCCCAUGGCCAUUAAAAGUUGUACAAAUCAUGAUGCUGCACCCCACGGUUUACGUUCUAGGGGGCGCCAAAGAUAACCCAAAAUCCACAUUCUUAAAAGUCUUAUAACUUUUUAUUUUUGUCCUCACUGCCCUCCAAGUUUUCUAGGAUGAUGCAAUGUCCAGCCAUCAACACAUUUGUGAAGGAAUUUUUACUCCCCAAAAGAGCGCCCCCCAUGGCAGGAGAAAAAAGUCAAUUUUUUCUUGUCCCCUUACAUGAAAAUACACAUUGUUGAGUGUCACGCCUGAACGCUUUGUCAUAUUGACACAAAAAUUGACAAUCAUGUGUAUCUCAAUUAGAUCUACGAAAAAGUCAAAAAGCACGUAUCUGUAUAAUGUACGGUUAAAGGGCUAUUUCGCAUUUUUUGCCAAUUCGCACACAUUGGAAUGUGGCUAUCUCCUCCUAAGGCUUUCGUCCCACUGAUACCAAAUUUGCUCAGGGCAAUCUACACCCCAUGCCCAUUCAAAGUUGUAAAAACCAUGAUGCUGCACCCCACGGUUUACGUUCUAGGGGGCGCCAAAGAUGACCCAAAAAUCCACAUUCUUAAAAGUCAUUUUGGCCACUGCAGGAGUACAGAGUACUGCAGUUCUAGGGGGCGCCAAAGAUGACCCAAAAAUCCACAUUCUUAAAAGUCUUUUUGGCCACUGCAGGAGUACAGAGUACUGCAGGAUACACACACAUAUACACACACGCCAAACACACACACACACACACACACACACACACACACACACACACACACACACACACACACACACACACACUCAGAGUCUGUUUUUUAGCACCUGCAAAAACAUGCUGUUUACAUAUUUGACAAGAAUGCAGAGGCUUCCUUUUGCCCCUGAAAAAAAUCAAAUUUCAAACACAACUUGACUGUUCAUUUCUCCAAAAGACAACCAUGAAGCUCCAUCCAAACCUGAAGCAGAUAGUUGGUGCAUGUGUACAGUAACCUGAGGGGAGUGAGGUGACUAUUUCUGAGGAGAACAUGAGCAGUGAAGAUUCACCUUGGAGCUAGAACAGGGACGUGCACAUGAUUAUACAGGGGCAGGAGCUCAAGUUUUUUCCAGUCAUUUAUACAAUAUGGAAAUUAAUGUGAAAUUAAAAAACAAAGUAUUAAUAGAAAGGUUAUGACUGUCCUGUGUAGAUGACAGUGAUAUCCAAUAGGCUAGGCACUCACGAGGCUGGCUGUGGCAAGUGCAAGUGAAAGCAACACGCACUGGCAGGAAGAACAGCAAACGCAGAUGAAGGAAAAGGGUCUUUGCAGUGAUGGGCGUUACCAGAGAGGACGAUGGCCAGAGGACGCGAAUGGGACGGGGAGGCAGCGCGUUGGGGGGGCAGCGCGACACGGCUCGGGCCCGCCAGUGCCCCAACGGGGCCCUAGUUAUUAUUUUUCCUCCCCUUUGAACUGGAAAAUGGCCCACUUCCCACUGGCGAAAACUCAUGAAAUUUGGCAGGACGACCGGGCCUGGUGAAAAAUUUGAUAUUCCGAAGUCGCCCAAACAAGAAAAUGCAAAAUGGCUCCAUAGCGCCCCCUAAGGUGAAAAUUCACAGUAUUCACUGUCACGCCUGUACGCUUUGUCAAAAUGACACAAAAAUUGACACACACAUGUAUCUCAAUAAGAUCUACAAAAAAGUCAGUGCGGGCGUAUCUGUCAAAUGUACGGUUAAAGGGUUAUUUCGCAUUUUUUGCCGAUCCGCACACAUUGGAAUUUCGCUAACUCCUCCGAAGGCUUUCGUUCCACCGGCACCACAUUUGCUCAGGCCAAUCUACACCCCAUGGCCAUUAAAAGUUAUUCAAAUCAUGACGCUGCACCCCACGGUUUAGGUUCUAGGGGGCGCCAAAGAUAACCCUAAAAUCCACAUAUUUAAAAGUCUUAUAACUUUUUAUUUUUGCCCUCACUGGCCUCCAAGUUUUCUAGGAUGAUGCAAUGUCCAGCCAUCAACACAUUUGUGAAGGAAUUUUUAAUCCCCAAAAGAGCGCCCCCCCAUGGCAGGAGAAAAAAGUCCAUUUUUUCUUGUCCCCUAAGGUGAAAAUACACAUUGUUGAGUGUCACGCCUGUACGCUUUGUCAUAUUGACACAAAAUUUGACACACACAUGUAUCUCAAUAAGAUCUACGAAAAAGUCAAUGCGCGCGUAUCUGUCAAAUGUACGGUUAAAGGGUUAUUCCGCAUUUUUUGCUGAUCCGCACACAUUGGAAUUUCGCUAACUCCUCCUAAGGCUGGCGUUCCACCGGCACCACAUUUGCUCAGGCCAAUCUACACCCCAUGGCCAUUAAAAGUUAUUCAAAUCAUGACACUGCACCCCACAGUUUAGGUUCUAGGGGGCGCCAAAGAUAACCCUAAAAUCCACAUAUUUCAAAGUCUUAUAACUUUUUAUUUUUGUCCUCACUGGCCUCCAAGUUCUCUAGGAUGAUGCAAUGUCCAGCCAUCAACACAUUUGUGAAGGAAUUUUUACUCCCCAAAAGAGCGCCCCCCCAUGGCAGGAGAAAAAAGUCCAUUUUUUCUUGUCCCAUAAGGUGAAAAAACACAUUGUUGACUGUCAUACCUGUACGCUUUGUCAUAUUGACACAAAAUUUGACAAUCACAUGUAUCUCAAUAAGAUCUACGAAAAAGUCAAUGCGCGCGUAUCUGUAAAAUGUACGGUUAAAGGGCUAUUUUGCAUUUUUUGCCGAUUCGCACACAUUGGAAUGUGGCUAACUCCUCCUAAGGCUUUCGUCCCACUGACACCAAAUUUGCUCAGGCCAAUCUACACCCCAUGGCCAUUCAAAGUUGUAAAAAUCAUGACGCUGCACCCCACGGUUUACGUUCUAGGGGGCGCCAAAGUUGACCCAAAUAUCCACAUUCUUAAAAGAAUCCCCCCCCCCAUCCCCCAUCCCCCAUCCCCCAUGGCAGGAGAAACAGUCAAGUUUUUCCUGCCCAUCACUCAAUGGCUCAAUCGCAUCGCUCUCCCGGCAACACCGUAACGAGGAGCAACUUGCCGUUUGGAUAUAUCCUAGCUGUGUUUGUGCCCUCACUCCUGGUCCAGACUUUUUUCAAAUAGGACAUGCAGUUUGUCUGCAGCGAGUGUUUUGGUAGAAACUGCGCCUCCCAUUCAUUAUAAUGGGAAAUGACCACAGACAAGUGCGCACACCAUCUUUGGACCUUGAGUGUGACGCGAUCGGGAGGGGGAGGCGGUCGCGCUGGGGGCGGCGCGACGCGGCUCGGGCCCGACAGUGCCCCACCGGGGCCCUAGUUAGGGCCCGAGCGUAGCUGCUAAGCAGCUGCGAGAGCCCUCUUGUUCCUGUAGUUUCCUUCUUUUGUUAUUAGGGCCCGAGCGUAGCUGCUAAGCAGCUGCGAGAGCCCUCUUGUUCCUGUAGUUUCCUUCUUUUGUUAUUAGGGCCCGAGCGUAGCUGCUAAGCAGCUGCGAGAGCCCUCUUGUUCCUGCAUGUUUCCUUCUUUUGUUAUUAUUAUUAUUAUUUUUCCUCCCCUUUGAACUGGAAAAUGGCCCACUUCCCACUGGCGAAAACUCAUGAAAUUUGGCAGGACGACCGGGCCUGGUGAAAAAUUUGAUAUUCCGAAGUCGCCCAAACAAGAAAAUGCAAAAUGGCUCCAUAGCGCCCCCUAAGGUGAAAAUUCACACUAUUGACUGUCACGCCUGUACGCUUUGUCAAAAUGACACAAAAAUUGACACACACAUGUAUCUCAAUAAGAUCUACAAAAAAGUCAGUGCGGGCGUAUCUGUCAAAUGUACGGUUAAAGGGUUAUUUCGCAUUUUUUGCCGAUCCGCACACAUUGGAAUUUCGCUAACUCCUCCGAAGGCUUUCGUUCCACCGGCACCACAUUUGCUCAGGCCAAUCUACACCCCAUGGCCAUUAAAAGUUAUUCAAAUCAUGACGCUGCACCCCACGGUUUAGGUUCUAGGGGGCGCCAAAGAUAACCCUAAGAUCCACAUAUUUCAAAGUCUUAUAACUUUUUAUUUUUGCCCUCACUGGCCUCCAAGUUUUCUAGGAUGAUGAAAUGUCCAGCCAUCAACACAUAUGUGAAGGAAUUUUUACUCCCCAAAAGAGCGCCCCCCCAUGGCAGGAGAAAAAAGUCCAUUUUUUCUUGUCCCCUAAGGUGAAAAUACACAUUGUUGAGUGUAACACCUGUACGCUUUGGCAAAAUGACACAAAAAUUGACACACACAUGUAUCUCAAUAAGAUCUACGAAAAAGUCAAUGCGCGCGUAUCUGUCAAAUGUACGGUUAAAGGGUUAUUCCGCAUUUUUUGCUGAUCCGCACACAUUGGAAUUUCGCUAACUCCUCCGAAGGCUUUCGUUCCACCGGUACCACAUUUGCUCAGGCCAAUCUACACCCCAUGGCCAUUAAAAGUUAUUCAAAUCAUGACGCUGCAUCCCACGGUUUAGGUUCUAGGGGGCGCCAAAGAUAACCCUAAAAUCCACAUAAUUAAAAGUCUUAUAACUUUUUAUUUUUGUCCUCACUGGCCUCCAAGUUUUCUAGGAUGAUGCAAUGUCCAGCCAUCAACACAUUUGUGAAGGAAUUUUUACUCCCCAAAAGAGCGCCCCCCCAUGGCAGGAAAAAAAAGCCAAUUUUUUCUUGUCCCCUAAGGUGGUAAUUCACACUAUUGACUGUCACGCCUGUACGCUUUAUCAUAUUGACACAAAAAUUGACACACAUAUGUAUCUCAAUAAGAUCUACAAAAGAGUCGAUUCGCGCGUAUCUGUCAAAUGUACGGUUAAAGGGCUAUUUUGCAUUUUUUGCCGAUUCGCACACAUUGGAAUGUGGCUAACUCCUCCUAAGGCUUUCGUCCCACUGACACCAAAUUUGCUCAGGCCAAUCUACACCCCAUGGCCAUUCAAAGUUGUAAAAAUCAUGACGCUGCACCCCACGGUUUACGUUCUAGGGGGCGCCAAAGAUGACCCAAAAAUCCACAUUCUUAAAAGAAUCCACAUCCCCCCCCCCCCCCCCCCCCAUAUGGCAGGAGAAAAAGUCAAGUUUUUCCUGCCCAUCGCUCAAUGGCUCAAUCGCAUCGCUCUCCAGGCAACACCGUAAGGAGGAGCAACCUGCCAUUUCGAUAUAUCAUAGCUGUGUUUGUGCCCUCACUCAUGGUCCAGACUUUUUUCAAAUAGGACAUGAAGUUUGUCUGCAGCGAGUGUUUUGGUAGAAACUGCGCCUCCCAUUCAUUAUAAUGGGAAAUGACCACAGACAAGUGCGCACACCAUCUUUGGAUCUUGAGUGUGACGCGAUCGGGAGGGGGAGGCGGUCGCACUGGGGGCGGCGCGACGCGGCUCGGGCCCGACAGUGCCCCACCGGGGCCCUAGUGUUAUUAGGGCCCGAGCCAGCUGCAGAGCAGCCGGGCGUAGGCCCUAUUAUUCCCCAAGUGGUUUUUCUUUGUUUCUUUCUUUCUUUUUUCUUUUUCCUCCCCUUUGAACUGGAAAAUGGCCCACUUCCCACUGGCGAAAACUCAUGAAAUUUGGCAGGACGACCGGGCCUGGUGAAAAAUUUGAUAUUCCGAAGUCGCCCAAACAAGAAAAUGCAAAAUGGCUCCAUAGCGCCCCCUAAGGUGAAAAUUCACACUAUUGACUGUCACGCCUGUACGCUUUGUCAAAAUGACACAAAAAUUGACACACACAUGUAUCUCAAUAAGAUCUACAAAAAAGUCAGUGCGGUCGUAUCUGUCAAAUGUACGGUUAAAGGGUUAUUGCGCAUUUUUUGCAGAUCCGCACACAUUGGAAUUUCGCUAACUCCUCCGAAGGCUUUCGUUCCACCGGCACCACAUUUGCUCAGGCCAAUCUACACCCCGUGGCCAUUAAAAGUUAUCAAAAUCAUGACGCUGCACCCCAAGGUUUAGGUUCUAGGGGGCGCCAAAGAUAACACUAAAAUCCACAUAUUUAAAAGUCUUAUAACUUUUUAUUUUUGUCCUCACUGGCCUCCAAGUUUUCUAGGAUGAUGCAAUGUCCAGCCAUCAACACAUUUGUGAAGGAAUUUUUACUCCCCAAAAGAGCGCCCCCCCAUGGCAGGAGAAAAAAGUCCAUUUUUUCUUGUCCCCUAAGGUGAAAAUACACAUUGUUGAGUGUCACGCCUAUACGCUUUGUCAAAAUGACACAAAAAUUGACACACACAUGUAACUCAAUAAGAUCUACGAAAAAGUCAAUGCGCGCGUAUCUGUCAAAUGUACGGUUAAAGGGUUAUUCCGCAUUUUUUGCCGAUCCGCACACAUUGGAAUGUGGCUAACUCCUCCUAAGGCUUUCGUUCCACCGGCACCACAUUUGCUCAGGCCAAUCUACACCCCAUGGCCAUUAAAAGUUAUCAAAAUCAUGACGCUGCACCCCACAGUUUACGUUCUAGGGGGCGCCAAAGAUAACCCUAAAAUCCACAUAUUUAAAAGUCUUAUAACUUUUUAUUUUUGCCCUCACUGGCCUCCAAGUUUUCUAGGAUGAUGCAAUGUCCAGCCAUCAACACAUUUGUGAAGGAAUUUUUACUCCCCAAAAGAGCGCCCCCCCAUGGCAGGAGAAAAAAGUCCAUUUUUUCUUGUCCCCUAAGGUGAAAAUACACAUUGUAGAGUGUCACGCCUGUACGCUUUGUCAAAAUGACACAAAAUUUGACAUACACGUGUAUUUCAAUAAGAUCUUCGAAAAAGUCAAUGGCCACGUAUAUGUAAAAUGUACAGUUAAAGGGUUAUUUCACAUUUUUUGCAGAUCCGCACACAUUGGAAUGUGGCUAACUCCUCCUAAGGCUUUCGUUCCACCGGCACCACAUUUGCUCAGGCCAAUCUACACCCCAUGGCCAUUAAAAGUUAUCAAAAUCAUGACGCUGCACCCCACAGUUACGUUCUAGGGGGCGCCAAAGAAAACCCUAAAAUCCACAUAUUUAAAAGUCUUAUAACUUUUUAUUUUUGCCCUCACUGGCCUCCAAGUUUUCUAGGAUGAUGCAAUGUCCAGCCAUCAACACAUUUGUGAAGGAAUUUUUACUCCCCAAAAGAGCGCCCCCCCAUGGCAGGAGAAAAAAGUCCAUUUUUUCUUGUCCCUUAAGGUGAAAAUACAUAUUGUUGAGAUUCACGCCUAUACGUUUUGUCAUAUUGACACAAAAUUUGACAAUCACGUGCCUUGCCUGGUAUCAUUUUUUUCAGCACAACCUCACCUGUGCGAAUUUACAGUUAUUUUAUCAUGUUGACAUACUGAAUUUACACAAUGGACCCAAAUUCACACACAAAACAUAAAAUCCGAGUGGAAAAAAGUAACAUUUUUACUGUGAAAACCACAAAUAUGUGUGAUGAACUGUUUUUAAAACUUAAACUUCAAAUAAAAAUUGUAAACUUCAAAACAUAUGCAAAUUUUUAACAAAGAACAUAGUGAUUUACCUCUAUUUACAUCAAAAUGCAGGCAAUGGCCCAGGCGUUCUUUGUAAAAUUAUUUACAAAACACUGUAUAGUCUCACAAAUGUCACUUUUUAUUUAUGCCACUACAAAAAAACAUGAUGUAAAUGAUGCAUGAUGUAAAACAUGAUGUAAAAAACUUGUGUAGAUCCUCCUCUAUGUCAGUCCAUGUGUAAUUUUUCCAUAAUUCUUUGUUUUUUGCAGCAUUUUUGUUAGUGUAACUGCAGAUUGUGCUGACAGUGUCUAUGGCACAAAAAAAAAAAAAAACUGAAAAUGCCUCAACAUGAACCCCUGGUGGUCUCUGAGGGUGAAACCUGCUAACUGCUGCAGCUCUGUCAGCUUCAGUCUCCCAUGCAGAGCUCUGAGCGCAUGUGUGGCUCUGCACCCUUAGCAGCGUUGCUAACUCCUCAGUAAGGAAAGCCUGCUUCAUGUCAGAGUCUCUAAACUCCAGAAGAAGUCGAUAAAAGUCCCUUUCUUUCUAAAAAGUCGUUAGGGGGUCUGAAAAGUCAUUGAAUCUAACAACAAAGUCGCUAGGUUUGCAACUACGUGUCCCAGACUGCAUCCCUGCUGAGAGUCCCUCCCUCCCUUCUCAUAUUGCAGGAAGAACGUAAGCGCCCGGCCCUUGUCAAUCAGUCACCAUAUAAUUUUGGAUUGGUUGUUGUGGUGAAGUUUUCCACCAAUAGGAGAGAUGUUGUGGUGUGUUUUUUUUUUCUUUUGGCAAGCCUUUUCCGCCUGUAAGAGCUGUCGCUAAUGUCUGCAUGCUAUGUUUUCCUGUCUCAUACAGCGCGAUCGAGCGCCGAACGUGAUCAAAAUAAGCAGAAAAAAAGUAUCGCGGACAUAAUUUAUCAUAACUCUGGUUUUAUUUGGCCUAUCAACACAAUUUAAAAACUGGUAUAUAGGUUGAGGUCCUCACUUUUGAGAUAAGUUGAAACGGAGAGUCAACGAGGCUCCGUCUUGCAGCUACAUCUGGUUAAAUAUGUCAUGUGACUUGAACGCACACACAGACACACACACACGCACACACACACACACACACACACACUCAGAGUCUGGUUUUUAGCACCUGCAAAAACAUGCUAUUUACAUAUUUGACAAGAAUGCAGAGGCUCCUUUUGCCCCUGAAAAAAAUCAAAUUUCAAACACAACUUGACUGGUCAUUUCUCCAAAAGACAACCAUGAAGCUCCAUCCAAACCUGAAGCAGGCAGUUGGUGCAUGUGUACAGUAACCUGAGGGGAGUGAGGUGAGUGCUUCUGAGGAGAACAUGAGCAGUGAAGAUUCACCUUGGAGCUAGAACAGAGACAUGCACAUGAUUAUACAGGGGCAGGGGCUCAAGUUUUUUCCAGUCGUUUAUACAAUAUGGAAAUUAAUGUGAAAUUAAAACACAAAGUAUUAAUAGAAAGGUAAUGACUGUCCUGUGUAGGUGACAGUGAUAUCGAAUAGGCUAGGCACUCACGAGGCUGGCUGUGGCAAGUGUAAGUGAAAGCAACACGCACUGGCAGGAAGAACAGCAAACGCCGAUGAAGGAAAAGGGUCUUUGCAGUGAUGGGCGUUACCAGAGAGGGCGAUGGCCAGAGGACACAAAUGGGACGGGGAGGCAGCGCGUUGGGGGGGGGGGGGGGCGACACGGCUCGGGCCCGCCAGUGCCCCAACGGGGUCCUAGUUAUUAUUAUUUUUCCUCCCCUUUGAACUGGAAAAUGGCCCACUUCCCACUGGCGAAAACUCAUGAAAUUUGGCAGGACGACCGGGCCUGGUGAAAAAUUUGAUAUUCCGAAGUCGCCCAAACAAGAAAAUGCAAAAUGGCUCCAUAGCGCCCCCUAAGGUGAAAAUUCACACUAUUGACUGUCACGCCUGUACGCUUUGUCAAAAUGACACAAAAAUUGACACACACAUGUAUCUCAAUAAGAUCUACAAAAAAGUCAGUGCGGGCGUAUCUGUCAAAUGUACGGUUAAAGGGUUAUUUCGCAUUUUUUGCCGAUCCGCACACAUUGGAAUUUCGCUAACUCCUCCGAAGGCUUUCGUUCCACCGGCACCACAUUUGCUCAGGCCAAUCUACACCCCAUGGCCAUUAAAAGUUAUUCAAAUCAUGACGCUGCACCCCACGGUUUAGGUUCUAGGGGGCGCCAAAGAUAACCCUAAAAUCCACAUAUUUAAAAGUCUUAUAACUUUUUAUUUUUGCCCUCACUGGCCUCCAAGUUUUCUAGGAUGAUGCAAUGUCCAGCCAUCAACACAUUUGUGAAGGAAUUUUUACUCCCCAAAAGAGCGCCCCCCCAUGGCAGGAGAAAAAAGUCCAUUUUUUCUUGUCCCCUAAGGUGAAAAUUCACACUAUUGACUGUCACGCCUGUACGCUUUGUCAAAAUGACACAAAAAUUGACACACACAUGUAUCUCAAUAAGAUCUACAAAAAAGUCCAUGCGCGCGUAUCUGUCUAAUGUACGGUUAAAGGGUUAUUUCGCAUUUUUUGCCGAUCCGCACACAUUGGAAUUUCGCUAACUCCUCCGAAGGCUUUCGUUCCACCGGCACCACAUUUGCUCAGGCCAAUCUACACCCCAUGGCCAUUAAAAGUUAUUCAAAUCAUGACGCUGCACCCCACGGUUUACGUUCUAGGGGGCGCCAAAGAUAACCCAAAAAUCCACAGUCUUAAAAGUCUUAUAACUUUUUAUUUUUCUCCUCACUGGCCUCCAAGUUUUCUAGGAUGAUGCAAUGUCCAGCCAUCAACACAUUUGUGAAGGAAUUUUUACUCCCCAAAAGAGCGCCCCCCCAUGGCAGGAGAAAAAAGUCCAUUUUUUCUUGUCCCCUAAGGUGAAAAUUCACACUAUUGACUGUCACGCCUGUACGCUUUGUCAAAAUGACACAAAAAUUGACACACACAUGUAUCUCAAUAAGAUCUACAAAAAAGUCAAUAGGCACGUAUCUGUCAAAUGUACGGUUAAAGGGCUAUUUUGCAUUUUUUGCCGAUUCGCACACAUUGGAAUGUGGCUAUCUCCUCCUAAGGCUUUCGUCCCACUGAUACCAAAUUUGCUCAGGGCAAUCUACACCCCAUGCCCAUUCAAAGUUGUAAAAAUCAUGCCGCUGCACCCCACGGUUUACGUUCUAGGGGGCGCCAAAGAUGACCCAAAAAUCCACAUUCUUAAAAGUCUUUUUGGUCACUGCAGGAGUACAGAGUACUGCAAGAUACACACACAUACACACACACACACACACACACACACACACACACACACACACACACACACUCAGAGUCUGUUUUUUAGCACCUGCAAAAACAUGCUGUUUACAUAUUUGACAAGAAUGCAGAGGCUUCCUUUUGCCCCUGAAAAAAAUUAAAUUUCAAACACAACUUGACUGUUCAUUUCUCCAAAUGACAACCAUGAAGCUCCAUCCAAACCUGAAGCAGGCAGUUGGUGCAUGUGUACAGUAACCUGAGGGGAGUGAGGUGACUGCUUCUGAGGAGAACAUGAGCAGUGAAGAUUCACCUUGGAGCGAGAACAGGGACGUGCACAUGAUUAUACAGGGGCAGGGGCUCAAGUUUUUUCCAGUCGUUUAUACAAUAUGGAAAUUAAUGUGAAAUUAAAACACAAAGUAUUAAUAGAAAGGUAAUGACUGUCCUGUGUAGGUGACAGUGAUAUCGAAUAGGCUAGGCACUCACGAGGCUGGCUGUGGCAAGUGUAAGUGAAAGCAACACGCACUGGCAGGAAGAACAGCAAACGCCGAUGAAGGAAAAGGGUCUUUGCAGUGAUGGGCGUUACCAGAGAGGGCGAUGGCCAGAGGACACAAAUGGGACGGGGAGGCAGCACGUUGGGGGGGGACGCGACACGGCUCGGGCCCGCCAGUGCCCCAACGGGGUCCUAGUUAUUAUUUUUCCUCCCCUUUGAACUGGAAAAUGGCCCACUUCCCACUGGCGAAAACUCAGGAAAUUUGGCAGGACGACCGGGCCUGGUGAAAAAUUUGAUAUUCCGAAGUCGCCCAAACAAGAAAAUGCAAAAUGGCUCCAUAGCGCCCCCUAAGGUGAAAAUUCACACUAUUGACUGUCACGCCUGUACGCUUUGUCAAAAUGACACAAAAAUUGACACACACAUGUAUCUCAAUAAGAUCUACAAAAAAGUCAGUGCGGGCGUAUCUGUCAAAUGUACGGUUAAAGGGUUAUUUCGCAUUUUUUGCCGAUCCGCACACAUUGGAAUUUCGCUAACUCCUCCGAAGGCUUUCGUUCCACCGGCACCACAUUUGCUCAGGCCAAUCUACACCCCAUGGCCAUUAAAAGUUAUUCAAAUCAUGACGCUGCACCCCACGGUUUAGGUUCUAGGGGGCGCCAAAGAUAACCCUAAGAUCCACAUAUUUAAAAGUCUUAUAACUUUUUAUUUUUGCCCUCACUGGCCUCCAAGUUUUCUAGGAUGAUGCAAUGUCCAGCCAUCAACACAUUUGUGAAGGAAUUUUUACUCCCCAAAAGAGCGCCCCCCAUGGCAGGAGAAAAAAGUCCAUUUUUUCUUGUCCCCUAAGGUGAAAAUACACAUUGUUGAGUGUAACACCUGUACGCUUUGGCAAAAUGACACAAAAAUUGACACACACGUGUAUCUCAAUAAGAUCUACGAAAAAGUCAAUGCGCGCGUAUCUGUCAAAUGUACGGUUAAAGGGUUAUUCCGCAUUUUUUGCCGAUCCGCACACAUUGGAAUUUCGCUAACUCCUCCGAAGGCUUUCGUUCCACCGGCACCACAUUUGCUCAGGCCAAUCUACACCCCAUGGCCAUUAAAAGUUAUUCAAAUCAUGACGCUGCACCCCACGGUUUAGGUUCUAGGGGGCGCCAAAGAUAACCCUAAAAUCCACAUAUUUAAAAGUCUUAUAACUUUUUAUUUUUGUCCUCACUGGCCUCCAAGUUUUCUAGGAUGAUGCAAUGUCCAGCCAUCAACACAUUUGUGAAGGAAUUUUUACUCCCCAAAAG
Molecule: non-coding RNA, 15797 nt
Organism: Xyrichtys novacula (pearly razorfish)
Lineage: Eukaryota; Metazoa; Chordata; Actinopteri; Labriformes; Labridae
Source: the annotation of a GenBank genome assembly